Molecule: ribosomal RNA, 494 nt
Filed under: uncultured bacterium
Lineage: Bacteria
Description: partial 16S ribosomal RNA
Rfam family: Bacterial small subunit ribosomal RNA
Source: RNAcentral
GACGAACGCUGGCGGCGUGCUUAACACGUGCAAGUCGAACGGAAAGGCCUGCUUUCCCUUGUGGAUUGCGGGUACUCGAGUGGCGAACGGGUGAGUAACACGUGAGUGAUCUGCCCCCAACUUGGGUAUAAGCCUGGGAAACUGGGUCUAAUUCCCGAUAGGACUGCAGGGUGGUGCCUGUGGUGGAAAACGAUUUUCUAGUGGUUGGGGAUGAGCUCGCGGCCUAUCAGCUUGUUGGUGGGGUAAUGGCCUACCAAGGCGGCGACGGGUAGCCGGCCUGAGAGGGUGGACGGCGACAUUGGGACUGAGAUACGGCCCAGACUCCUACGGAAGGCAGCAGUGGGGAAUAUUGGACAAUGUGCGGAAGCCUGAUGCAGCGACGCAGCGUGGGGGAUGACGGCCUGCGGGUUGUAAACUCCUUUCGACCGCGAGGAAGCCACCUGGUUGGAAGGGUGGUGACGGUAGUGGUAGAAGAAGCACCGGCUAACUACGUG